This is a non-coding RNA of Tricholoma furcatifolium, 102 nucleotides long. NCBI's taxonomy places the organism in Eukaryota, Fungi, Basidiomycota, Agaricomycetes, Agaricales, Tricholomataceae. The record is from the annotation of a GenBank genome assembly.
GGCUUCUUGGUCUAGUAGCAUGAUACCUCCUUCGGGUCUAUAGGUCCAUGGCAGAUGCCAUAUCAUUGGAGGUGGUCCCGGGUUCAAUUCCCGGAGGAGCCC